Non-coding RNA from Cinara cedri, 247 nucleotides. NCBI's taxonomy places the organism in Eukaryota, Metazoa, Arthropoda, Insecta, Hemiptera, Aphididae. The record is from the annotation of a GenBank genome assembly.
GUAAUUGUGUAACGUUAAUCGAGAGUGACCGUCGCGUGAUGAUGCGGCCGUUCAUUAUCAUUUCAUACACGGUGUCGGAAACGAUGAAAAUUCGCUCGUUAAAAACGUCCGACAACGAUUCUAUUGCAUUGCGGUCUGAAAACGCCGCAUGUUUAGUGGGGAAAAAAAACCCCCCCCGCUGAAAAUGGGCAACAGCGACGAGAACUAUAACAUUUCAAUAUUUGUUGUAGCGCUAUGGAUUUUCAGC